AUUGAACGCUGGCGGCAGGCCUAACACAUGCAAGUCGAGCGAGGGGCGGGCGGGUGAGGAAUGGAUGUGGAUCUGCCCGAUAGGGGGGAAUAACUACGAGAGACGGUGGCUAAUAACGCAUACUGUCGGAUGAACCCAUAUGGUAUUAGCUAGUUGGUAAGGUAAUGGCUUACCUAGGCGACGAUCCCUAGCUGGUCUGAGAGGAUGAUCAGCCACACUGGGACUGAGACACGGCCCAGACUCCUACGGGAGGCAGCAGUGGGGAAUAUUGGACAAUGGGCGAAAGCCUGAUGCGGCCAUGCCGCGUGUAUGAAGAAGGCCUUCGGGUUGUAAAGUACUUUCAGUCGGGAGGCGUUACCGACAGAAUAAGCACCGGCUAACUCCGUGCCAGCAGCCGCGGUAAUUC
Molecule: ribosomal RNA, 406 nt
Filed under: uncultured bacterium
Lineage: Bacteria
Description: partial 16S ribosomal RNA
Rfam family: Bacterial small subunit ribosomal RNA
Source: RNAcentral